RNAcentral lists this transfer RNA (78 nucleotides) under Anaerolineae bacterium. RNAcentral describes it as "tRNA-Arg". It matches the Rfam family "tRNA". From Rfam's summary of the family: Transfer RNA (tRNA) molecules are approximately 80 nucleotides in length. Their secondary structure includes four short double-helical elements and three loops (D, anti-codon, and T loops). The record is from RNAcentral. Lineage: Bacteria; Bacillati; Chloroflexota; Anaerolineae.
GCGCCCGUAGCUCAGUUGGAUCAGAGCGCGCGGCUACGAACCGCGAGGCCGGGGGUUCGAGUCCCUCCGGGCGUACCA